Orcinus orca (killer whale) is the source of this 566-nucleotide long non-coding RNA. RefSeq lists it as uncharacterized. The record is from RefSeq and is a predicted model, not a curated record. The transcript is spliced from 2 exons. NCBI's taxonomy places the organism in Eukaryota, Metazoa, Chordata, Mammalia, Artiodactyla, Delphinidae.
UCUUUGCUGGGCACGGGCUUUCUCUAGUUGCGGCAAGCUGGGGCUACCCUUCAUUGUGGUGCGUGGGCUUCUCACUGUGGUGGCUUCUUGUUGCAGAGCAUGGGCUCUAGGCGUGUGGGCUUCAGUAGUUGUGGCACGUGGGCUCAGUAGUUGUGGCUCGCGGGCUCUAGAGCGCAGGUUCAGUAGUUGUGGCGCACGGGUUUAGUUGCUCUGCGGCAUGUGGGAUCUUCCUGGACCAGGGCUCGAACCCAUGUUCCCUUCUUUGGCAGGCGGAUUCUUAACCACUGUGCAAACAGGGAAGUCCCUGUCUGAUGUUUUCUGAUUCAGGUCAACAUAAGCUCCUUUCUGGUACUUUCCCUGAAGCCUUGAUUUGAACUUGUUCUUUAGUGUUCUCAAAGCGUCUAUAUAUUUCUCUAUUAUUAUGCCGUAUCAUACUGUGUUGGUUUUAGGCUUUGUGAGGAGAGGUUCAGAGUAGGUUUUGCCCUAGAAUGUGGUCUUUACUCCUGAAGGCCUUUCUAGUGUCUGCUGGUCUGUGUUGUUAAUGUGAUUUCUUCACUUUGGCAGAG